AACCUUGGGCCUGGUUGGCCGGUCCGCCUCACCGCGUGCACUGGUCCGACCGGGUCUUUCCUUAUGGGGAGCCGCAUGCCCUUCACUGGGUGUGUCGGGGAACCAGGACUUUUACUUUGAAAAAAUUAGAGUGUUCAAAGCAGGCCUAUGCUCGAAUACAUUAGCAUGGAAUAAUAGAAUAGGACGUGUGGUUCUAUUUUGUUGGUUUCUAGGACCGCCGUAAUGAUUAAUAGGGAUAGUCGGGGGCAUCAGUAUUCAAUUGUCAGAGGUGAAAUUCUUGGAUUUAUUGAAGACUAACUACUGCGAAAGCAUUUGCCAAGGAUGUUUUCAUU
RNAcentral lists this ribosomal RNA (332 nucleotides) under Monilinia laxa. RNAcentral describes it as "SSU rRNA". The stretch from base 95 to 332 matches the Rfam family "Eukaryotic small subunit ribosomal RNA", at positions 735 to 974 of the family's 1831-position model. The record is from RNAcentral. Lineage: Eukaryota; Fungi; Ascomycota; Leotiomycetes; Helotiales; Sclerotiniaceae.